AACGAACGCUGGCGGCAUGCCUAACACAUGCAAGUCGAACGAGACCUUCGGGUCUAGUUGCGCACGGGUGCGUAACGCGUGGGAACCUUCCCUUAGGUUCGGAAUACCUCCCCGACAGGGGUGCUAAUACCGGAUAAUUUCUUCUGACCAAAGGUUUAUCGCCUUUGGAUGGGCCCGCGUUGGAUUAGCUAGUUGGUAGGGUAAAAGCCUACCAAGGCGACGAUCCAUAGCUGGUCUGAGGGGAUGAUCAGCCACACUGGGACUGAGACACGGCCCAGACUCCUACGGGAGGAAGCAGUGGGGAAUAUUGGACAAUGGGGGAAAGCCUGAUCCAGCAAGGCCGCGUGAGUGAUGAAGGCCUUAGGGUUGUAAAGCUCUUUUACCCGGGAUGAUAAUGACAGUACCGGGAGAAUAAGCUCCGGCUAACUCCGUG
RNAcentral lists this ribosomal RNA (433 nucleotides) under uncultured bacterium. RNAcentral describes it as "partial 16S ribosomal RNA". It matches the Rfam family "Bacterial small subunit ribosomal RNA", at positions 29 to 507 of the family's 1533-position model. The record is from RNAcentral.